Betta splendens (Siamese fighting fish) is the source of this 1923-nucleotide long non-coding RNA. The record is from Ensembl. Lineage: Eukaryota; Metazoa; Chordata; Actinopteri; Anabantiformes; Osphronemidae.
AUUUUUAACGGUUUUGCACCCACAUUUUCAGUCUCCUCCACAGUACACGACGUUUUCGACAGUUCUUUAUAUUUGCUUUUCAUUGUCGGAGUUUCACGAAGUCUCUUCCACAGUACACGACGUUUUCGACAGUUCUUUAUAUUUGCUUUUCAUUGUCGGAGUUUCACGAAGAUCAUGGACCAUCGCCCUUUGUUCCGUGUGCAGCCUUCGUCCACUGAGCUCACUCUCAGGCCCUCACCAGAAGCACUGACGGUGGCCCAGGCCUAUCAUGGGUCUGAGGCAUGGAAGGUGAAGGUGCCUCAGAAGGUGAAGGAGGAGGCGAAAGCUCGCAUUCUGCAAGGAGGAGGAGAUCCCCACUGCUCCCAGCUGCUUCUCAGCCAAUAUGAGAUCCAGUUUGGGCAGUACCGGGGACAGACCUUCAAGUGGCUCCUGAGUCACGACGUGGGCUACGCUGUGGCCCUGCUGGCCUCACACCAGAAGGAGCGGGAGAGUGGUGACACAUCCAGCUCACCACUUAUGGCCAACAAGGUGCUGUGGAGUACAACACAGAAAUAUCUCACUCAUCCUAGUACAGUAAAAGUAGAGCCAUCAUUAGAACUAUUAUACGGAUCCCAACUCACACAGCUCAAUCAGAGCAAUCAUCAAGAAAUUCCUAUUUCUGUCAUAAUACACAUAUUCUGUUCUCCCGCUACACAGGAUGCCCUCACCUCCUACAGCAAGCUGUUCCCAGAGGUGAUGUCAGCCGUGGAGGGACGCCGUGCCACGGAGGGUUCCAAGUCUGUCCGGAGCCAAGACAAGAAGUUGGUGGAGUUCGGCCCCCACGGAGCCAUGACCUACGCCUCCAUGUACGAGGCCACGGGGAAAGAGGUUGAGACCUACGUGCAGUGGCUGAGGAAGAAGAAGUGCAUCCCAGGCAGCUCUCUGCAUGCUUUAAAGACCUACAUACUGGGCCGGGACCAGGAGAAGAACCAGCAUCCCUCCCAGCAGCCCCAGUGCCCACCAUCUGACGGUGUUGUGCUCCCAGUUGCUGUUCCUGCUGCCUCCACGCGUGUCUCUGAAAAGCUGAUUUCUUUGUCUUCUCUGUGUGAAACAGCUGCUAACGAGCCCUCAGACGAGAUGCUCCUGGCUGCUGCCUUAGAGGUGGAGAGUCAGCAGGUCCCAUCUUCAGCCUCCACUCCUGUGCCCGUUGAUGACCUGGACCUGUCUUCCAGUGGUGACAGCAGCGUCGCCGUGCGGCCCAGGACCAGAGCUGCAGCCGCAGCUGAGGGCUGUCCUAAACCCUCGCGGCCAAUUAGUGGCUCAGAGGUGAGACACCCCCCUCCCUCCCUCUGCAGGGCAGCUCCCCCACUGUGCUUCAAAUUGUUUGGCUUGUGCUCACCUUUUGUCUGUUUCUGUGGUGAAGUUGCUGCCUGCAUCCCCCACUGUGCUUCACAUUGUUUGGCUUGUGCUGACCUUUUGUCUGUUUCUGUGUUGAAGCUGCUGCCUCACAGCUGGAGGCAGACUCUGCCGGAGGAGCAGCAGGACUGGGUGGGCCGGGCUCUGUUCACCAGGAACGCCAGGGGCCAGCGUGUCCUCACCACCGACCUUCGCCUCUGGUGGUACCCUCCCGGAGCCCGGCCCCUCUACACCCAGACCCCUGCAUCGUCCCACGCCUUCUUCCAGAGGCCGUUCUUCCUGUGGCUGCCCUACAAGAUGUGGGCGUGCAGGCUUGUGUGCCCCAGCUGUGACACGAAGCUGACCGGCGCAGGACUGCACAAGACGGUGCGCAGGGUUCUGGACAGGGACGGCUGGUACUUUAUGGGCACAGAGUGCCUGGAAUGUCGUUCCUGUGGGAAGAAGAUGGCCGCCUGGGUCCCGGACAUCAUCAAUCAGUUGGACCCGGGUCACCGGAAUCAAUUCCCGGCUGUACUCACCUACAAGUAA